RNAcentral lists this ribosomal RNA (425 nucleotides) under uncultured bacterium. RNAcentral's name for it is "partial 16S ribosomal RNA". It matches the Rfam family "Bacterial small subunit ribosomal RNA", at positions 354 to 796 of the family's 1533-position model. The record is from RNAcentral.
GUGGGGAAUAUUGGACAAUGGGCGCAAGCCUGAUCCAGCCAUGCCGCGUGAGUGAUGAAGGCCUUAGGGUUGUAAAGCUCUUUCACCGAUGAAGAUAAUGACGGUAGUCGGAGAAGAAGCCCCGGCUAACUUCGUGCCAGCAGCCGCGGUAAUACGAAGGGGGCUAGCGUUGUUCGGAUUUACUGGGCGUAAAGCGCACGUAGGCGGUUUGUUAAGUCAGAGGUGAAAUCCCGGAGCUCAACUCCGGAACUGCCUUUGAUACUGGCAAGCUAGAGUCCGGAAGAGGUAAGUGGAACUCCUAGUGUAGAGGUGGAAUUCGUAGAUAUUAGGAAGAACACCAGUGGCGAAGGCGGCUUACUGGUCCGGAACUGACGCUGAGGUGCGAAAGCGUGGGGAGCAAACAGGAUUAGAAACCCUGGUAGUCC